CGUAGGGUGCGAGCGUUAAUCGGAAUUACUGGGCGUAAAGUGUGCGCAGGUGGCCGCGCAAGUCGAGUGUGAAAUCCCCGAGCUUAACUUGGGAAUUGCGCUCGAAACUACGUGGCUCGAGUGUGGCAGAGGAAGGUGGAAUUCCACGUGUAGCGGUGAAAUGCGUAGAGAUGUGGAGGAACACCGAUGGCGAAGGCAGCCUUCUGGGCCAACACUGACGCUCAUGCACGAAAGCGUGGGGAGCAAACAGGAUUAGAUACCCUGGUAGUCCACGCCCUAAACGAUGAUGACUAGUUGUUGGGGGAGUUAAAUCCCUUAGUAACGCAGCUAACGCGUGAAGUCAUCCGCCUGGGGAGUACGGUCGCAAGAUUA
This 372-nucleotide ribosomal RNA is filed under the name uncultured organism. RNAcentral describes it as "bacterial SSU rRNA". It matches the Rfam family "Bacterial small subunit ribosomal RNA", at positions 526 to 896 of the family's 1533-position model. The record is from RNAcentral.